GCCUUACACAUGCAAGUCGAACGGCAGCAUGAUCUAGCUUGCUAGAUUGAUGGCGAGUGGCGAACGGGUGAGUAAUACAUCGGAACGUGCCCUGUAGUGGGGGAUAACUAGUCGAAAGAUUAGCUAAUACCGCAUACGACCUGAGGGUGAAAGUGGGGGACCGCAAGGCCUCAUGCUAUAGGAGCGGCCGAUGUCUGAUUAGCUAGUUGGUGAGGUAAAGGCUCACCAAGGCGACGAUCAGUAGCUGGUCUGAGAGGACGAUCAGCCACACUGGGACUGAGACACGGCCCAGACUCCUACGGGAGGCAGCAGUGGGGAAUUUUGGACAAUGGGCGAAAGCCUGAUCCAGCAAUGCCGCGUGUGUGAAGAAGGCCUUCGGGUUGUAAAGCACUUUUGUCCGGAAAGAAAUGGCUCUGGUUAAUACCUGGGGUCGAUGACGGUACCGGAAGAAUAAGGACCGGCUAACUACGUGCCAGCAGCCGCGGUAAUACGUAGGGUCCAAGCGUUAAUCGGAAUUACUGGGCGUAAAGCGUGCGCAGGCGGUUGUGCAAGACCGAUGUGAAAUCCCCGAGCUUAACUUGGGAAUUGCAUUGGUGACUGCACGGCUAGAGUGUGUCAGAGGGGGGUAGAAUUCCACGUGUAGCAGUGAAAUGCGUAGAGAUGUGGAGGAAUACCGAUGGCGA
This 683-nucleotide ribosomal RNA is filed under the name uncultured Ralstonia sp. RNAcentral describes it as "bacterial SSU rRNA". It matches the Rfam family "Bacterial small subunit ribosomal RNA", at positions 46 to 718 of the family's 1533-position model. The record is from RNAcentral. Lineage: Bacteria; Pseudomonadati; Pseudomonadota; Betaproteobacteria; Burkholderiales; Burkholderiaceae.